GAAUUGCCAUGGUCAUCGUAUCUCUUCACAGCAAUGGGAACCCUGAAUCAACGCUCACCUGGGCCAUCUGUGAUGAUCUGAAAUGGUGGAAGUUUGGCUCAGAGAACAACUGUCUGAAGCAGUCAGCCUCCCAAGUGCUGGGAUUACAGACAUGUGCCACCUUCCCUGUUUUACGCAGAGCCCGUGGAGGAAACCCAGGGUUUCAGGCAUGCUAGACUAGCGGUCUACCAACCAAAUUACAAGUCCAGCAUUUGUUUCUGCGCAGGCUACCCUGGGUUAUAUUAUGUUAUGUAGCCCAGGCUAGCUUCAAAUUUAAGAUCCUCCUGCCUUAGGCUCUUGAGUGCUGGGAGUACAGAUGCCACAUAGUGUGCCAGUAUACUUUGCACAUCUCCUCUCUCUGUCCUCUCCUCUCACAGAGCCCAUUUGACUAACAGAGGAAGCUGCCAAGCCCUGGAAAUCUAGUGGAUUUCCUGUAGGGAGAGGGUGGAGUGGGUCAGGGCUAUGUCCUCAGAACUCAGCAUCUAGCUGUGGGGCGAGACUGCAGGAAGAUGACAAACUGCUGCUUCCUGAAGAGAGCCACGCUAUCUUGCCAGCAUCACUUAUGUAGACAUGUUAAAUAUCAGCAUGAAAAAUGAACGAAGAAAUGAAAAUGUGCACUUCCCUCUAAA
This is a long non-coding RNA of Mastomys coucha (southern multimammate mouse), 668 nucleotides long. RefSeq lists it as uncharacterized. The transcript has 2 exons. The record is from RefSeq and is a predicted model, not a curated record. Lineage: Eukaryota; Metazoa; Chordata; Mammalia; Rodentia; Muridae.